AUGGAGAGGCAGAUGAUACUUAUAAUGCUCGUCACGGUUUCAGGUGGAUUUGCUGAUAAAAUUGGACCAAGUGAAGGAGAUACUAAUAUAAUCAGAGAAGAAGGAAAGUCUGUGACACUGAGCUGCACAUUUGAAACUAACAGCAAUGAUAUUUGGCUUUACUGGUACAGACAAUAUCCCAACAGAGAACCAAAAUAUAUACUGUAUAAAGGAGCUAGAUCAAGGAGCAGUCAGAAAAAUAUACCAGAUGGGUUUCAAUCAACUACAUCCCAGUCAUCCACUGAACUCACUAUUAACAGUGUAACUCUGUCAGAUUCAGCUCUCUAUUACUGUGCUCUAAGAGUUGGAGCCCAGUGAUACAAAAUGCAUGAGAAGCUUUACAAAAACUCACAUGAAAUUAAUGCUUUGAAGAGUAUUUAAUAAUAUCAGUAUCAAAACACAUCAUGUUUUUAUAAACCACAAACAGGGAAUGUGGUAACAGCUGUGAAUUUGCUAAAAAAAAAAAAAAAAAAAAAAAAAGUUUGAAUAAGAGCAUGUGAAUACAAUAUAGCAUGCAUAUCAUGGUUUCACAUUAUCAAUUUUAUAUAUAUAUAUAUAUAUAUAUAUUUCUUUUUUUUCUGAUUUUAUGUUUCAUAAAUUCCUAAGGAUCUAAUUAAAACUGAUCUGAAAUCAGUUAAAUCCUUGUAAAACAACCACAAAUCAGCACACACACACACACACACACGCACACACACACAUGUUUGUUUUUGUGAAAAGUGGGGACAUCCCAUAGGUGUUAUGGUUUUUAUACUGUACAAACUGUAUAUUCUAUGGCCCUACACCAACCCUACCCCUAACCCUAACCCUCACAGGAAACUUUGUGCAUUUUUACUUUCUCAAAAAAAACUCAUUCUUUAUGAUUUAUAAGCGUUUUGAAAAAUGGGGACAUGGGUUACGCCUCAUAAGUCACCCUCUCCUUGUAAUACCUGUGUCAUACCCAUAUCAUUAUACAAAGUUGUGUCCUGAUAUGUCACAAAAACAAGAGCACUAACACACACACACACACACACACACUUAUUUAUAUUCAUGAUUAUGAAUUUUGUUCUUUAGGUGUCACUUUUAUGAAUCUAAUCCCUAGUCUGAUCAAUAAAAAGGAGCAAAUAAAUAAAAGUUAUACAAUAAAAACAUUACAAAAAAAAAAGAAC
RNAcentral lists this long non-coding RNA (1184 nucleotides) under Carassius auratus (goldfish). RNAcentral's name for it is "lncRNA (ENSCARG00000017255.1)". The record is from RNAcentral. Lineage: Eukaryota; Metazoa; Chordata; Actinopteri; Cypriniformes; Cyprinidae.